UGCCAGUGUGGGGCAGGACAGCAGUGUACUUAGUGUGAGACAAAUACUUGUUUUCAGUGGCUGGAGAGAUGGAUGGCUCAGCAAUUAACAGUGCUUGCUGCUCUUUCAGAGGACCCAAGUUUUGUUCCUAACUCUAGCUCCAGGGGGAUCUGAUGUCCUCUUUUGGCUUCUGUGGCACACACACACACACACACACACACACACACACACACACACACACACAUUAAAAAUUUUUUUUUCGGGUCAGGGUUUCACUGUGUAGCCCUGGCUGCCUGGCUGUCCUAGAACUCACUCUGUAGACCAAACCAGCCUUGCACUCACAGAGAUCUGCCUACCUCUGCCUCCUGAGUGCUGGGAUUAAAGGUGUGUGCCACCACCACCUGGCCACCAUUAAAAAUUCUAAAAUAAAUAUACUUGUUUUCUCAGCCUGUGGGGCUCCGAGGUCACAGCAUUUUGUCCAACCACACACAAGGAGAGUCUGGGCACCUAGACACAAAGCGUGACGUGAUUUAUGCAUAUGAGGGAAUGGAUAAAAGAUGAUACUUAAAUGAGAUAGAGAGGACCAGCCAUGUUCAUAACCUGCUGAAGCGGCUUCCCACUGCCCACAACGGGGUAGCCAUGCAUAUGUGCCAUGCCAGCUGAGCCGAUUGUCUCAUCGACUAGCAUGUGAAAGAGAAGAGCUGCCUGGAGAAACUGGAAGGCACCUGUCACCCCAAACCCUGGUGGGCGAGCUACAGAGAAUGAGAACGGUGAAGUGCAGAGGCCUCAGAGCCUGCUGGGCAUUACAGAUGAAAAUGAUGGAAAGCAACUCACUUCCCAGAACUCCAGGGAAAUGACAGCAACUGGAUCAAACACUGUAGGCUUUAUCAGUGACGGUGAUGCUGUGGGUCUGAAAUCAUCGGUGGCUGAGGAUUAGAUGAUGGUCUUCUGAGUUCUUGCCCUGUGCCCUUCAGCUACCCAUCCUUGACCUUGGUAGGGAGAAUUGAAGCAGGGAGCUCUGGCCCCAGGAGUGCCUGCUGCAGGCAAGCCAGGGUGAGGGCCCACUCUGGGUUUGAGAGGUGUAGAUUUGAUUCCACUUAGCAAAAAAAGGUACCUGAGACACACAACUUUAAGGAGGUAAGAUUCCCUUUGGCUUGUGGUUUCAAAGGCUUCAGUGGGUGGUUGAACUAUUCCUCCCUUUCAGGCCUGCAGCAAGGUUGGAGCAUCAUGGAGGAGGAAUGUGGUAGAAGGCAGCUUGAUCAUCCCAGCAGCCAGCAAGCAAAGAGACGCACAGUAUCUCUCAAUUCAAUCAAGUUGACAAUCAACAAUCAAGAUUAACACGGAGCAAUCCCACUCCGUGUCAGUGUGACACCCUAACACACACUUCCUUACACCACACUUAAUCUCCAAAUGAAG
This 1395-nucleotide long non-coding RNA is filed under the name Cricetulus griseus (Chinese hamster). RNAcentral's name for it is "lncRNA (ENSCGRG00015031393.1)". Lineage: Eukaryota; Metazoa; Chordata; Mammalia; Rodentia; Cricetidae. The record is from RNAcentral.